GACGAACGCUGGCGGCGUGCUUAACACAUGCAAGUCGAACGGAAAGGCCCUGCUUUUGUGGGGUGCUCGAUUGGCGAACGGGUGAGUAACACGUGAGUAACCUGCCCUUGACUUUGGGAUAACUUCAGGAAACUGGGGCUAAUACCGGAUAGGAGCUCCUGCUGCAUGGUGGGGGUUGGAAAGUUUCGGCGGUUGGGGAUGGACUCGCGGCUUAUCAGCUUGUUGGUGGGGUAGUGGCUUACCAAGGCUUUGACGGGUAGCCGGCCUGAGAGGGUUACCGGCCACAUUGGGACUGAGAUACGGCCCAGACUGCUACGGGAGGCAGCAGGGGGGAAUAUUGCACAAUGGGCGGAAGCCUGAUGCAGCAACGCCGCGUGCGGGAUGACGGCCUUCGGGUUGUAAACCGCUUUCGCCUGUGACGAAGCGUGAGUGACGGUAAUGGGUAAAGAAGCACCGGCUAACUACGUG
This 468-nucleotide ribosomal RNA is filed under the name uncultured bacterium. RNAcentral describes it as "partial 16S ribosomal RNA". It matches the Rfam family "Bacterial small subunit ribosomal RNA", at positions 28 to 507 of the family's 1533-position model. The record is from RNAcentral.